UACGUAGGGUCCGAGCGUUGUCCGGAAUUAUUGGGCGUAAAGGGCUCGUAGGCGGUUUGUCACGUCGGGAGUGAAAACUCAGGGCUCAACCCUGAGCGUGCUUCCGAUACGGGCAGACUAGAGGUAUGCAGGGGAGAACGGAAUUCCUGGUGUAGCGGUGGAAUGCGCAGAUAUCAGGAGGAACACCGGUGGCGAAGGCGGGUCUCUGGGCCGAUACUGACGCUGAGGAGCGAAAGCGUGGGGAGCGAACAGG
Molecule: ribosomal RNA, 253 nt
Filed under: uncultured bacterium
Lineage: Bacteria
Description: partial 16S ribosomal RNA
Rfam family: Bacterial small subunit ribosomal RNA
Source: RNAcentral